Molecule: long non-coding RNA, 225 nt
Filed under: Malus domestica (apple)
Lineage: Eukaryota; Viridiplantae; Streptophyta; Magnoliopsida; Rosales; Rosaceae
Description: long non-coding RNA (MDOM_LNC013975)
Source: RNAcentral
CCAAAUCAAAGAAAAAUAGAAGUUGAGAUCCACAAAAAGAGCAGCCUAAAUGCCAGGCCCAUCCCUUCUCAAACACAUAAUUGUUUUGAGCUUGCUGUGCAAGAAGCUGUGCUUCUUCUCCCUUCAAGCCCAGUCCUGGCUCUCAAAGCCCAAUCCGCGUUUCCUCCUCCAUCCGUGCCUUCGACUUGCAGCUCACCAUACGCCACGGGCCGGCCCAAUGCCAUC